UCAGACGAUGCGUCAUGCAUAUCAAUAAGCGGAGGAAAAGAAACUAACAAGGAUUCCCUUAGUAACGGCGAGUGAAGCGGGAAGAGCUCAAAUUUGAAAUCUUGAAAGGUCACCUUUCACGAAUUGUAGUUUAAAGAAGUGUUUUCUGUUACGAUCGUAAUAUAAGUUCUUUGGAAUAGGACAUCACAGAGGGUGAGAAUCCCGUCUAUGAUUGCGAUUUGUAGCUUUGUGGUACACUUUCAAAGAGUCGGGUUGUUUGGGAAUGCAGCCCAAAACGGGAGGUAAAUUUCUUCUAAGGCUAAAUAUUGGCGAGAGACCGAUAGCGAACAAGUACCGUGAGGGAAAGAUGAAAAGAACUUUGAAAAGAGAGUUAAAUAGUACGUGAAAUUGUCAAAAGGGAAGCGUUUAACACCAGUGUUGUUUUCUGAAAAUCAACCUCUGUUAGCUUUAUGCAUGUUUGUUUAGACCUAAUCAGCUAUCUUGCAUGUUCUAUUGUUUGCAGUGGUGCACUUUUCAGUUUACAGGUCAACAUCAGUUUUUUUUACCGUAAAAAAGUUAAAGAAAGGUAGCUCAUGGCUCCGGUCGUGAGUGUUAUAGUCUUUUUCCUAUGCGGUAGGAGAGACUGAGGUCUGCAGUGUAGGCUAUUUGGCUAGAUACUCAGGUGCUAUGUGAUACCAUUUCAUAAACAACUUGUUGAUUAUGUUUUGUCUAUUGCAUACUCGCUUGUACUAUCAUACCUACGCUUAGGAUGUUGACUGAUAUGUAGUCGUA
Molecule: ribosomal RNA, 771 nt
Filed under: uncultured Neocallimastigales
Lineage: Eukaryota; Fungi; Neocallimastigomycota; Neocallimastigomycetes; Neocallimastigales
Description: partial large subunit ribosomal RNA
Rfam family: Eukaryotic large subunit ribosomal RNA
Source: RNAcentral